This 225-nucleotide non-coding RNA is filed under the name Alkalibacterium sp. RNAcentral describes it as "T-box sequence". It matches the Rfam family "T-box leader". Rfam says of the family: Uncharged tRNA acts as the effector for transcription antitermination of genes in the T-box leader family. T-boxes are found upstream of many aminoacyl-tRNA synthetase genes and some amino acid biosynthetic genes usually in Gram-positive bacteria. The anticodon of a specific tRNA base pairs to a specifier sequence within the T-box motif, and the NCCA acceptor tail of the tRNA base pairs to a conserved bulge in the T-box antiterminator hairpin. The record is from RNAcentral. Lineage: Bacteria; Bacillati; Bacillota; Bacilli; Lactobacillales; Carnobacteriaceae.
UAUAAAACAAAGAGAAAGACAUCCUUGAUAAAUUAUCUUUUCAGAGAGAGAAUGACUGCUGCAACAUUCUUAAGACUAAUUAUCAUUGACCCCUUUCGAGUGCUAUUUUGAAACUGAGUAAAAAUAGUCGUAGCCUCUGCGUUAAAGAGUAAUGAAGGUAGAAAACACUUAAUCAUGUGUUUCUACAAAUUUGGGUGGAACCACGUAGAAUUUAACGUCCCAUUG